AGCUCCAAUAGCGUAUAUUAAAGUUGUUGCAGUUAAAAAGCUCGUAGUUGGACUUCUGAUGCAUUGUUGCGGUCCGCCGCAAGGUGAGCACUGUGACGAUGUGUCUUCCUCUCGCAGGCCUUUGGUGCACUUAAUUGGGUGCCAUUGGAAUGUGGGACCUUUACUUUGAAAAAAUUAGAGUGUUCAAAGCAGGCAACCGCUUGAAUACAUUAGCAUGGAAUAAUGGAAUAGGACUUUGGUUCUAUUUUGUUGGUUUCUAGGACCGAAGUAAUGAUUAAUAGGGACAGUUGGGGGCAUUAGUAUUUAAUUGUCAGAGGUGAAAUUCUUGGAUUUAUGAAAGACUAACUACUGCGAAAGCAUUUGCCAAGGAUGUUUUCAUUAAUCAAGAACGAAAGUACGC
This 400-nucleotide ribosomal RNA is filed under the name phytoplankton environmental sample. RNAcentral's name for it is "partial small subunit ribosomal RNA". It matches the Rfam family "Eukaryotic small subunit ribosomal RNA", at positions 587 to 994 of the family's 1831-position model. The record is from RNAcentral.